GAUGAACGCUGGCGGCGUGCCUAAUACAUGCAAGUCGAGCGAACAGACGAGGAGCUUGCUCCUCUGACGUUAGCGGCGGACGGGUGAGUAACACGUGGAUAACCUACCUAUAAGACUGGGAUAACUUCGGGAAACCGGAGCUAAUACCGGAUAAUAUAUUGAACCGCAUGGUUCAAUAGUAAAAGACGGUUUUGCUGUCACUUAUAGAUGGAUCCGCGCCGCAUUAGCUAGUUGGUAAGGUAACGGCUUACCAAGGCGACGAUGCGUAGCCGACCUGAGAGGGUGAUCGGCCACACUGGAACUGAGACACGGUCCAGACUCCUACGGGAGGCAGCAGUAGGGAAUCUUCCGCAAUGGGCGAAAGCCUGCCGGAGCAACGCCGCGUGAGUGAUGAAGGUCUUCGGAUCGUAAAACUCUGUUAUUAGGGAAGAACAAAUGUGUAAGUAACUAUGCACGUCUUGACGGUACCUAAUCAGAAAGCCACGGCUAACUACGUG
Molecule: ribosomal RNA, 497 nt
Filed under: uncultured bacterium
Lineage: Bacteria
Description: partial 16S ribosomal RNA
Rfam family: Bacterial small subunit ribosomal RNA
Source: RNAcentral